This 1115-nucleotide long non-coding RNA is filed under the name Capsella rubella. Its description in RNAcentral is "long non-coding RNA (CRUB_LNC004909)". The record is from RNAcentral. Lineage: Eukaryota; Viridiplantae; Streptophyta; Magnoliopsida; Brassicales; Brassicaceae.
ACAGUGGACAAGAUAAAUACAUGUAUCGUCUAUCAUUAUUAGUUGUUCUUUUUCACUACCCAACAUUAUUACCACACUAACAUGUGUAUUAUAGACAAGUUAGUUUAUAAAAAAAAUAGAACAACAAGUUAGGGAACAAAAUAUGGACAUAUUACAGACAUCGGGGCUGGUCCACCAGAUCUAGUCUACCGGAUCUAGUCCACGAGAUUUGGUCCACCAGAUUAGUCCACGAGAUUUGGUCCACCAGAUUAGUCCACGAGAUUUGGUCCAUCUACAGACAAAUGUGUGGUCAAGAGUGUAAACGUAGAAGGAUCUUAAAUGAUAUUUCCAUAAAUGCAUCACUUGUUUCAUCAUCUGGUCGAUCGCUUAUGGCUUCAAAAGAUCUGCGUGAUGGACACGAUUGCUUAGUAAAAAUAGACAAGUUUGGUCCACUAGAACUGGUUCACUGGAUAUUGUCUACCUGAUCUGGUCCACCGAGAUUAGCUCGUCGGAAAUAGAAUAUACAAUUUCUAUGGAGCAUCUGCAAAGCUGAUUGAGAUCCCUUUGUAGGAAAAACAUGGGUGAAAAAGAUUUCACGCACUGGUUCACUGAAUAUGGUCCACCGGAUCUGAUCUACCAGAUCUGGUCCAUCGAAUUGACCCAGUGGAGAUGCAGCAGACAACUUCUAAACAACAUCUGCAGAGCUAAUUGAUAUCUUUUUGUCAGAGCAAACGCUUGUGAAAUUAGAAAUCUCUUUUUUUUGUUAUUGGAGAAAGAAAGAGGAAAGUGAAAGAAGAAAAAAAAGAAACAGAGGAGAGAGAGAAAGAUACGAGAGAUAUGAGACAUGAGAAAAGAAAAGAAGAGUUCAUUAGAAAGAGGGUAUGAUAGUCUUUUAGUACAUAGGUUGUGGCAGGCGGGAGAAGAUAAAAACACUAAUGGCACUGAAUAAAAGAUUUGUCACUGUAUAUGGCAGAACUGACAAUUUUCUCUUAUAUAUAUAUAUAUACUUAUAUAGAUAUACAUCUAUAUAAGCAUUUUUGUUGUGAUAUCUAGAAAAAAGUGCAAAUCUGGAUUGUUUUUUUUUGGUUGGAAAAAAACAAAUGCUUUGCUGGAUUAAUUCUAAAAAGCUAUAUACG